UUACGGCCAUAUCACGAUGAAACACCGGUUCCCGUCCGAUCACCGAUGUUAAGCAACGUCCAGCCUGGUCAGUACCUAGAUAAGUGACUGCUUCGGAAUACCAGGUAGCGUA
Non-coding RNA from Acanthosepion pharaonis, 112 nucleotides. Lineage: Eukaryota; Metazoa; Mollusca; Cephalopoda; Sepiida; Sepiidae. The record is from the annotation of a GenBank genome assembly.